AGGAAGCCACUUCGGUGGCAGGAAGACAGGUGGUGCAUGGUUGUCGUCAGCUCGUGUCGUGAGAUGUUGGGUUAAGUCCCGCAACGAGCGCAACCCUUAUUGUUAGUUGCUACCAUUUAGUUGAGCACUCUAGCGAGACUGCCCGGGUUAACCGGGAGGAAGGUGGGGAUGACGUCAAAUCAUCAUGCCCCUUAUGUCUAGGGCUACACACGUGCUACAAUGGUCGGUACAAUGAGAUGCAACCUCGCGAGAGUGAGCAAAACUAUAAAACCGAUCUCAGUUCGGAUUGUAGGCUGAAACUCGCCUACAUGAAGCUGGAGUUGCUAGUAAUCGCGAAUCAGAAUGUCGCGGUGAAUACGUUCCCGGGCCUUGUACACACCGCCCGUCACACCAUGAGAGUUGGCAAUACCCAAAGUUCGUGAGCUAACGCGUAAGCGAGGCAGCGACCUAAGGUAGGGUCAGCGAUUGGGGUGAAGUCGUAACAAGGUAGCCGUAGGAGAACCUGCG
RNAcentral lists this ribosomal RNA (507 nucleotides) under uncultured bacterium. RNAcentral describes it as "bacterial SSU rRNA". It matches the Rfam family "Bacterial small subunit ribosomal RNA", at positions 1009 to 1516 of the family's 1533-position model. The record is from RNAcentral.